Molecule: ribosomal RNA, 892 nt
Filed under: Pseudocoleophoma zingiberacearum
Lineage: Eukaryota; Fungi; Ascomycota; Dothideomycetes; Pleosporales; Dictyosporiaceae
Description: partial large subunit ribosomal RNA
Rfam family: Eukaryotic large subunit ribosomal RNA
Source: RNAcentral
GCAUAUCAAUAAGCGGAGGAAAAGAAACCAACAGGGAUUGCCCUAGUAACGGCGAGUGAAGCGGCAAAAGCUCAAAUUUGAAAUCUGGCUCUCUAUGGGAGUCCGAGUUGUAAUUUGCAGAGGGUGCUUUGGUGUCGGCAGCGGUCUAAGUUCCUUGGAACAGGACGUCACAGAGGGUGAGAAUCCCGUACGUGGUCGCUUGCCUUCGCCGUGUAAAGCCCCUUCGACGAGUCGAGUUGUUUGGGAAUGCAGCUCUAAAUGGGAGGUAAAUUUCUCCUAAAGCUAAAUACUGGCCAGAGACCGAUAGCGCACAAGUAGAGUGAUCGAAAGAUGAAAAGCACUUUGGAAAGAGAGUCAAAUAGCACGUGAAAUUGUUGAAAGGGAAGCGCUUGCAGCCAGACUUGCCCGCGGUUGUUUUCUUCCGCAGGCAGGCCAGCAUCAGUUUGGGCGAUCGGAUAAAGGCCUCUGUCACGUAUCUCCCUUCGGGGUGACCUUAUAGGGGAGGCGCAAUGCGAUCAGCCCGGACUGAGGUCCGCGCAUCUGCUAGGAUGCUGGCGUAAUGGCUGUAAGCGGCCCGUCUUGAAACACGGACCAAGGAGUCUAACAUCUAUGCGAGUGUUUGGGUGUCAAGCCCAGACGCGUAAUGAAAGUGAACGGAGGUGGGAACCCUCUCGGGGGUGCACCAUCGACCGAUCCUGAAGUCUUCGGAUGGAUUUGAGUAAGAGCAUGGCUGUUGGGACCCGAAAGAUGGUGAACUAUGCUUGAAUAGGGUGAAGCCAGAGGAAACUCUGGUGGAGGCUCGCAGCGGUUCUGACGUGCAAAUCGAUCGUCAAAUUUGGGCAUAGGGGCGAAAGACUAAUCGAACUAUCUAGUAGCUGGUUCCUGCCGAUUU